RNAcentral lists this ribosomal RNA (482 nucleotides) under uncultured bacterium. RNAcentral's name for it is "partial 16S ribosomal RNA". It matches the Rfam family "Bacterial small subunit ribosomal RNA", at positions 30 to 507 of the family's 1533-position model. The record is from RNAcentral.
AUUGAACGCUGGCGGCAUGCCUUACACAUGCAAGUCGAACGGUAACAGGUCUUCGGAUGCUGACGAGUGGCGAACGGGUGCGUAAUACAUCGGAACGUGCCCGAUCGUGGUGGGUAACGAAGCGAAAGCUUUGCUAAUACCGCAUACGAUCUACGGAUUAAAGCAGGGGACCGCAAGGCCUUGCGCGAACGGAGCGGCCGAUGGCAGAUUAGGUAGUUGGUGGGAUAAAAGCUUACCAAGCCGACGAUCUGUAGCUGGUCUGAGAGGACGACCAGCCACACUGGGACUGAGACACGGCCCAGACUCCUACGGGAGGCAGCAGUGGGGAAUGUUGGACAAUGGGCGAAAGCCUGAUCCAGCCAUGCCGCGUGCAGGAUGAAGGCCUUCGGGUUGUAAAAUGCUUUUGUAAGGAACGAAAAGACUCUGGUUAAUACCUGGGGUCCAUGACGGUACCGUAAGAAUAAGCACCGGCUAACUACGUG